Molecule: ribosomal RNA, 440 nt
Filed under: uncultured bacterium
Lineage: Bacteria
Description: partial 16S ribosomal RNA
Rfam family: Bacterial small subunit ribosomal RNA
Source: RNAcentral
CUACGGGAGGCAGCAGUGGGGAAUCUUGCGCAAUGGGCGAAAGCCUGACGCAGCCAUGCCGCGUGAGUGAUGAAGGUCUUAGGAUUGUAAAGCUCUUUCGCCCGUGACGAUGAUGACGGUAACGGGAGAAGAAGCCCCGGCUAACUUCGUGCCAGCAGCCGCGGUAAUACGAAGGGGGCUAGCGUUGUUCGGAAUUACUGGGCGUAAAGCGCGCGUAGGCGGCUUUGCAAGCCAGGGGUGAAAUGCCUGAGCUCAACUUGGGAAUUGCCUUUGGGACUGUGAGGCUUUGAGGACUGGAGAGGUGAGUGGAAUUCCCAGUGUAGAGGUGAAAUUCGUAGAUAUUGGGAAGAACACCGGUGGCGAAGGCGGCUCACUGGCCAGUUUCUGACGCUGCAGCGCGAAAGCGUGGGGAUCAAACAGGAUUAGAUACCCGAGUAGUC